Molecule: ribosomal RNA, 65 nt
Filed under: uncultured bacterium
Lineage: Bacteria
Description: partial 16S ribosomal RNA
Source: RNAcentral
UCACGGAAGUAGGUAGGCUAACCGCAAGGGGGCCGCUUACCACGGUGCGUUUCGUGACUGGGGUG